RNAcentral lists this unclassified non-coding RNA (1520 nucleotides) under Hevea brasiliensis (rubber tree). The record is from RNAcentral. Lineage: Eukaryota; Viridiplantae; Streptophyta; Magnoliopsida; Malpighiales; Euphorbiaceae.
UCUCUCUCUCUUUCUCUCUCUGCUUUUGAUGGUAAUUUUAGAAAAGCCUGUAGAUGGUUGAUUGGGAUCUUUCUUGCAAUAAGAUUCAAGAAAGAAAAAGUUAGGGAAUUAAAGAACUGAAAAAUAAAAAUAGGGACAAAAUUCUGGAGCAAACCCAUUAUUUUCCCUUCUUUUGAUGAGCUUUAUACGUUUAUAUAUAUUUUAAUUUGUUUUUGGAUUAUUAUCUUUAAAGCUUCAUCAUUAGUUUGUUACUUUGUUUUAGGGUUGGGCUGGUCAAUUAUUCUUUUCCUGUGAAAAGUCUCCUCCUUGAUUGUUGAUAAUUUGCCAUUAUUUCCUUUGCAAUCUUUGACUGACUAAAAUUUUAUUAACAAAAUUAUGGAGCAAGCCCAUUAUGGUCCCUACUUUUGAUGAUUUUCUUUCAUAUUUCUUUUUGUUAAAUUUAAAAUAUCAUUAUUAAUGGCUCUUUGAUUAUUCUCUAGAAAGGUAUUCUCUUUAGUGGCGUUAUGUGCUUUGCAAAGCUUUUACUGCUUAAUUUUGAUUUCUUAUUUGAUUGAUCAAUUGGUUUAAUGGUAUGUACCAUGUUUUUGGAAAAUUAGCUGUCUAUACAAGCAGAUAUAAUCAUGCCCUAACUCUUUCUUGAUGCCUAUACACAUCAGUUUAUUGUUUCCUGAAUAACAAAUAACUGUGGUUUCAUUGGAACAUGAGCAAUCAUCGAACCGUCUGGAUUUUCAAGCUAACUGAGGUGUACUAGGCGGAUGUAUAAAUAUAAUUAUUGAUGCUCUUUCUUAUGACUCAUGAAUUGAUACUUUUGAUUGAGUCUAACUUGAUGCCUCAGAUCAAGUGGUUCAUUGCUUUCUUAGUAUUAAAAAUAUAAUUUCUUUUCAACUAGUGUUAGACCUUGAGGAAUGCAAUCCUGUGGCAACACUAAUAGCAUCCAAAUGUCUAGACCUUUUGAGGUGCUUGUACGUGUCAAUAAUCUCAAUUGUUAAUGAAAUUGUUUACUUUCUGCACUUCUGAAAAUUUGUGGAUAUACCGCAAGUAUGCAAAGAAAGUGUCAACUGGCACAUUCAAGGUUCUUGGAAUUCAAUAUUUUUUGUCUUGAGUUUCAUUUGAAUCAAUUUUGCCUAUUGCUUAUUCUAGCCUAUGAUAGUCCUCUUUGUCAUUUAUUUUCUCAUAGCUUAUAUUUUGACUGGGAGCAUUUUAGGAUUAAUGUUUCAAAUGGCAAAUGCAUCCCUUGUGGACUCUGAGAACUUGAUUGAAACUCUUUCUCAAUGGUUUGGAAUGCAUAUCUCUAGUUGAUAAGACUGCUUGCUUGGCUCAAAUAUGGUAUCUAUCUUUGUGCUGACACUUUCAAAAAAGCAAUCUUUCAUUCUCACCAGCUUGACCUUUUUAAAUUGCAGAGUACAUGUGCAAUAUGCCUGACAGCCAUGAAACCAGGACAGGGCCAUGCCAUUUUUACUGCAGAAUGCUCGCACUCUUUUCACUUCCAUUGUAUUACCUCUAAUGUAAAACAUGGGAAC